Molecule: ribosomal RNA, 1214 nt
Filed under: uncultured bacterium
Lineage: Bacteria
Description: partial 16S ribosomal RNA
Source: RNAcentral
CCGAACUGAGACCGGCUUUUUGGGAUUCGCUCCACCUUACGGUAUCGCAGCCCUCUGUACCGGCCAUUGUAGCAUGCGUGAAGCCCAAGACAUAAGGGGCAUGAUGAUUUGACGUCAUCCCCACCUUCCUCCGAGUUGACCCCGGCAGUCUCCCAUGAGUCCCCGGCAUAACCCGCUGGCAACAUAGGACGAGGGUUGCGCUCGUUGCGGGACUUAACCCAACAUCUCACGACACGAGCUGACGACAACCAUGCACCACCUGUGUACGAGUGUCCAAAGAGAACCCCGUCUCGGGGGCUUUCUCGUACAUGUCAAGCCUUGGUAAGGUUCUUCGCGUUGCAUCGAAUUAAUCCGCAUGCUCCGCCGCUUGUGCGGGCCCCCGUCAAUUCCUUUGAGUUUUAGCCUUGCGGCCGUACUCCCCAGGCGGGGCACUUAAUGCGUUAGCUGCGGCACGGAACUCGUGGAAUGAGCCCCACACCUAGUGCCCAACGUUUACGGCAUGGACUACCAGGGUAUCUAAUCCUGUUCGCUCCCCAUGCUUUCGCUCCUCAGCGUCAGUUGCGGCCCAGAGACCUGCCUUCGCCAUCGGUGUUCCUCCUGAUAUCUGCGCAUUCCACCGCUACACCAGGAAUUCCAGUCUCCCCUACCGCACUCUAGUCUGCCCGUACCCGAUGCAAGCCCGAGGUUGAGCCUCGGGAUUUCACACCAGACGCGACAGACCGCCUACGAGCUCUUUACGCCCAAUAAUUCCGGACAACGCUUGCGCCCUACGUAUUACCGCGGCUGCUGGCACGUAGUUAGCCGGCGCUUCUUCUGCAGGUACCGUCACUUGCGCUUCUUCCCUGCUGAAAGAGGUUUACAACCCGAAGGCCGUCAUCCCUCACGCGGCGUCGCUGCAUCAGGCUUGCGCCCAUUGUGCAAUAUUCCCCACUGCUGCCUCCCGUAGGAGUCUGGGCCGUGUCUCAGUCCCAGUGUGGCCGGUCGCCCUCUCAGGCCGGCUACCCGUCGACGCCUUGGUAGGCCAUCACCCCACCAACAAGCUGAUAGGCCGCGAGCCCAUCCCCCACCGAAAAACUUUCCAACCCACACCAUGCGAUGCGAGCUCAUAUCCGGUAUUAGACCCCGUUUCCAAGGCUUAUCCCGAAGUGGAGGGCAGGUUGCUCACGUGUUACUCACCCGUUCGCCACUGAUCCACCCAGCAAGCUGGGCUUCAC